Molecule: long non-coding RNA, 651 nt
Organism: Chenopodium quinoa (quinoa)
Lineage: Eukaryota; Viridiplantae; Streptophyta; Magnoliopsida; Caryophyllales; Amaranthaceae
Exons: 2
Source: RefSeq, a predicted model, not a curated record
GUCGCGCGACUCCAACCACAGCUAGGUGGGCGCGACCCUAACUGAAAACACAAAUUUUCAUAUGUCAUUGGCUUCACCGCAAUUUUUUUUCCUUUUUUUUUAAUUCUCUCUCUCUCCUCUCCUCUCAGAUCUCUCAUUUUCUCUUUAUAACUCUCUCUCUAACCGUGAAUGGCAAGAGCACCGACUUCCACUGUCGUCUUCGUCUUAGUCGUCGUCUUAGUCAAUCAAACCAACCCAGAUCUCCGCAUCUAAAUUUAGAAGCUCCUAACCCUAACAUUUUCCCCAAAUUUCAACAGAUUCAGGUACAAAUUCAUCAAUUCAUUCCAAUUUCCUACUGAUUUCUGCUACCUCUGUCGUUGUCUUCGUCUCCGCCGUCGUCAUCUUCGUCUUCAUCGUCUUAGUCAAUCAAACCAACCCAGAUUUGUUGGAGAUUGCGGUGGCUGAACUUGUGACUGUAGGCGCGCGGCUGGGUGCACGAGAUGGUUGAUUGUUGUGGUGGUUGGAAUUGGUGGUUUAGUUAAGACUUAUUAAGUCGAUCAGGGUUACUAGGUCGGAGGGGUUACUUGGUCGAGGGAUUACUUGUGUAUUAGCUGGCCACACAAAAAACCUGUUGAGUUAAAAAUUUACCACUAUAUUAAAUUGGAUAUUCCA